RNAcentral lists this ribosomal RNA (253 nucleotides) under uncultured bacterium. RNAcentral's name for it is "partial 16S ribosomal RNA". It matches the Rfam family "Bacterial small subunit ribosomal RNA", at positions 524 to 776 of the family's 1533-position model. The record is from RNAcentral.
UACAGAGGGGGCCAGCGUUAUUCGGAAUUAUUGGGCGUAAAGCGCGUGUAGGCGGCUUGGCAAGUCGGGUGUGAAAUCCCUCAGCUUAACUGAGGAAGUGCGCCCGAAACUGCUUUGCUUGAGUGCCGGAGAGGAUGGCGGAAUUCCCCAAGUAGAGGUGAAAUUCGUAGAUAUGGGGAGGAACACCGGUGGCGAAGGCGGCCAUCUGGACGGUAACUGACGCUGAGACGCGAAAGCGUGGGGAGCGAACAGG